RNAcentral lists this ribosomal RNA (305 nucleotides) under uncultured bacterium. RNAcentral describes it as "partial 16S ribosomal RNA". It matches the Rfam family "Bacterial small subunit ribosomal RNA", at positions 506 to 807 of the family's 1533-position model. The record is from RNAcentral.
ACAGCAGUAGCCGCGGUAAUACGUAGGGUGCGAGCGUUAAUCGGAAUUACUGGGCGUAAAGCGAGCGCAGACGGUUACUUAAGCAGGAUGUGUAAUCCCCGGGCUCAACCUGGGAACUGCGUUCUGAACUGGGUGACUAGAGUGUGUCAGAGGGAGGUGGAAUUCCACGUGUAGCAGUGAAACGCGUAGAGAUGUGGAGGAAUACCGAUGGCGAAGGCAGCCUCCUGGGGUAACACUGACGUUCAUGCUCGAAAGCGUGGGUAGCAAACAGGAUUAGAUACCCCGGUAGUCCCUGUCUCUUAUAC